Molecule: ribosomal RNA, 253 nt
Filed under: uncultured bacterium
Lineage: Bacteria
Description: partial 16S ribosomal RNA
Rfam family: Bacterial small subunit ribosomal RNA
Source: RNAcentral
UACGUAGGGUGCGAGCGUUAAUCGGAAUUACUGGGCGUAAAGCGUGCGCAGGCGGCUUUGCAAGACAGAUGUGAAAUCCCCGGGCUCAACCUGGGAACUGCAUUUGUGACUGCAAGGCUAGAGUACGGCAGAGGGGGAUGGAAUUCCGCGUGUAGCAGUGAAAUGCGUAGAUAUGCGGAGGAACACCAAUGGCGAAGGCAAUCCCCUGGGCCUGUACUGACACUCAUGCACGAAAGCAUGGGGAGCAAACAGG